GGGGCAGCGAGGCCGGUGCUUGCACCCGCUUUUGGGGACCGGCGCCACGGGUGAGUAACACGUGUGCGACCUGCCCCCUACAGGGGAAUAACCCUAGAAAAUGCGGCCUAAUUCCCCCUUAGUCCCAAAGGGCUGCAUGGCUUUUGGGGGAAAGGUUCACUCCGGUAGGGGAUGGGCAUGCGGCGCAUUAGCUAGUUGGCGGGGUAACGGCCCACCAAGGCGACGAUGCGUAGGGGUUCUGAGAGGAAGGUCCCCCACACUGGUACUGAGACACGGACCAGACUCCUACGGGAGGCAGCAGUGAGGAAUAUUGGUCAAUGGGCGAGAGCCUGAACCAGCCAAGUCGCGUGAGGGAAGACGGUCCUACGGAUUGUAAACCUCUUUUGUCGGGGAGUAAUAGGCGGGACGUGUCCUGCUGUGAGAGUACCCGAAGAAAAAGCAUCGGCUAACUCCGUGCCAGCAGCCGCGGUAAUACGGAGGAUGCGAGCGUUAUCCGGAUUUAUUGGGUUUAAAGGGUGCGCAGGCGGCGUGCCAAGUCAGCGGUCAAAGUUCCGGGCUCAACCCGGUGAUGCCGUUGAAACUGGUGUGCUUGAGUGCGUGCGAGGGAGGCGGAAUGCGUUGUGUAGCGGUGAAAUGCAUAGAUAUGACGCAGAACUCCGAUUGCGAAGGCAGCUUUCCAGCACGCCACUGACGCUGAGGCACGAAAGCGUGGGGAUCGAACAGGAUUAGAUACCCUGGUAGUCCACGCAGUAAACGAUGACUACUAUCUUUUCGGUCCGACUGAGGAUUGGAGGAACAGCGAAAGCGUUAA
RNAcentral lists this ribosomal RNA (811 nucleotides) under uncultured bacterium. RNAcentral's name for it is "bacterial SSU rRNA". It matches the Rfam family "Bacterial small subunit ribosomal RNA", at positions 65 to 863 of the family's 1533-position model. The record is from RNAcentral.